GGGGGUGAUCCGGUUUCGACGGGACGCGUUGAGGUCGGGUUGCGCGUCGUGGAUCCUCGUUGGCCACGUAAAAAACGAGGAAAAAAAGUAAUUGCGAACAACGAUUACGCUCUCGCCGCCUAAUUAACGGCCGCGAUGUCGAAGCGCCGAUGUCUGCUGAGCGCCGAGGCAUAAUUUAGCAAGCUCGGUUGAUUCCGUUUCGGACAGGGGUUCGACUCCCCUCACCUCCA
Molecule: transfer-messenger RNA, 230 nt
Filed under: bovine gut metagenome
Rfam family: transfer-messenger RNA
About the family: Bacterial tmRNA, also known as 10Sa RNA or SsrA, is named for its dual tRNA and mRNA-like properties. Its role is to liberate the mRNA from a stalled ribosome.
Source: RNAcentral